GGUCAAGCGAACAAGUGCAUGUGGUGGA
Molecule: ribosomal RNA, 28 nt
Filed under: Burkholderia gladioli
Lineage: Bacteria; Pseudomonadati; Pseudomonadota; Betaproteobacteria; Burkholderiales; Burkholderiaceae
Description: partial 23S ribosomal RNA
Source: RNAcentral